AGUAGCCACUCAGAUGACAGAGCAGCUUCUAUCGCAGUCCCACACCGGAGUUCAGCGUCAAAGGAGAGGAGGAGAGAUCAAGGAGGGAGCCGUCCCUAGGUGAUGGGAGGUCAAGCAUCGGCACCGGAGCGCGGCGGGAUAGGCGACGCCGGCCGGCCGCCGCCCCACCACAGGCUUCGUCUACGACGCAGAGACCGGCGGCGCUGAUGUGUCGAUCAACGAGCGCCGCCUUAAGUCCUCAGAUCGGCGAGGGUGGCGUCGCCUUCGUCUACCUCGACAAGGUGCAGGACACUUGAGAACCGACUAUGUUUGUGACAGUAUGUUGGGGCUCAAGCGACAAUGAGCAGGUGGGAGGAUCAUUCGACUGACCAAGUGCAGUAUGAUGGUGAUCUCUGAACAGUUGCAAGGAGGCUAACAACAUGUUAGCUCUUUUUAAUAUCUUGGUUGAUGCGAUCUGUCAGAUUUAGCCCACCGAGUCCUUAUUUUGCAUUUACUUUGCUUCUCUAAAGUUCUCUUCAUGCUGUAAGGAAGACGCGAGGGUUGGUUGCAUUCCUGCUGCUGCCUUGCUUGAGAUGAAUCCAUUUGGUUCUUUUGCCUUUCAAUUCUGUAACACUGUCAUAUCGAUUGUUAGGUGUCAUUCUGCUUCUCCUUGCACGUCUAUUUGUGCGCUUGGGUUGCCAAGCAGGUUACUGACACAUGGGAUCGUAUAGCUGUUCUAUUACUCAGGGCCACCCUGGUGGUCAUUAUAUCUCUGGGUUAAGCAAGCUGAGCAGGUUAUGCAAGCUACUGUGUAAAAUGUGCAUGCAUCGCUGCCUAAAAAGGGGGUCCAGACAGCAUGCUUACUAUGCUCCAUUAAAGCAGCUAAGAAGAUCCUGUCAGGGAGGUGGUUGACAUUACGGACAAAUUCAUACUCUCAUGUUCGUUAAGCUGCGGCUCCCACCACCAGUUUUUCUGCUGCAAAGUUGGACAGAGGUUUGCAGUUACAAUCAAGUUCCAUAUCAGCAUGCAGCAUCAGUGACAUGAUGCUGAAGCAAUGGCACUAUAGGGGAUUCUGGGUAUUCAUCUAAUACCAUAGAAGAUGUAAUGUAUGUUGCAGCUGCUCGAGUUAUCAGAUGCAUGGAGACUCUGCGUGGCAAGGUUCUCAAGGACUAUAGUUACAACAAACUGAAACUAAAGGAAACAGGACUGCAUCUAAUUGGUUUGUUAAGGGAGAAAGAAAGGAGAUCAAAGAACAUAAUUCAAAGAUCAGAGAUCUUAGCAAAGGCUUUGCAGGCUAUAUGUAUCAAGUCCAAAACACUUUUGCCGGGAUUUAUCGCAUAGCUAAAAACGGUGUAUGCUCAACCAGUUCUAAACAUGGCAAUGACCUUAGCAAAGCUGCUGCCUUCUUUCAACACAACAAAGCUGUUGUCGACGUGCAGAAUGAACUUGCUCAUCUGAACAAUUGAUGACUCUAUGCAGCUGAUUUGAAACAUAGGGUUUUAUCCCUUUUAAAGAGUCUACUUCCAUAACCUAUGUAUCUUUGGAAAAUGCAGAUGCUACUAGCUACAACAGCCCGCUUUAAAUGACCAGCGAUAAAUGCAACGAUUCAAGUACCAAUCAUUCAUGCUCCUCUUUUGUCCUGUUGGUGAACUUUGAACUAUACACUACCCAUCUAUAUAUUUAUUUAUUAGUUACUAUGGCGAUGACACAUGUAAAUUAAACCACUGUUGAGUUCUCCACUCCAUGCUAUGUUAGAUCCAUGUGAUAUAUCUAUGCCAACUGCAUUCACUCUCUGUUGUUUAGUGCCAAUAUUUUCUUAUA
Molecule: long non-coding RNA, 1800 nt
Organism: Triticum dicoccoides
Lineage: Eukaryota; Viridiplantae; Streptophyta; Magnoliopsida; Poales; Poaceae
Exons: 4
Source: RefSeq, a predicted model, not a curated record